GGCUGAGCCCAGUGCAGUAGUGUUUAUAACCAGUUACAGAUUUCUUUUGUUUCUUCUCUACUCUCACUGUUUCACUUGACUAGCCUUUA
Molecule: Y RNA, 89 nt
Filed under: Saimiri boliviensis boliviensis (Bolivian squirrel monkey)
Lineage: Eukaryota; Metazoa; Chordata; Mammalia; Primates; Cebidae
Description: Y RNA (ENSSBOG00000006490.1)
Rfam family: Y RNA
About the family: Y RNAs are components of the Ro ribonucleoprotein particle (Ro RNP), in association with Ro60 and La proteins. The Y RNAs and Ro60 and La proteins are well conserved, but the function of the Ro RNP is not known.
Source: Rfam by way of RNAcentral